GUGGGGAAUAUUGCACAAUGGGCGAAAGCCUGAUGCAGCAACGUCGCGUGAGGGACGACGGCCUUCGGGUUGUAAACCUCUUUUAGUAGGGAAGAAGCGAAAGUGACGGUACCUGCAGAAAAAGCACCGGCUAACUACGUGCCAGCAGCCGCGGUAAUACGUAGGGUGCAAGCGUUAUCCGGAAUUAUUGGGCGUAAAGAGCUCGUAGGCGGUCUGUCGCGUCUGCUGUGAAAACUGGAGGCUCAACCUCCAGCCUGCAGUGGGUACGGGCAGACUAGAGUGCGGUAGGGGAGAUUGGAAUUCCUGGUGUAGCGGUGGAAUGCGCAGAUAUCAGGAGGAACACCGAUGGCGAAGGCAGAUCUCUGGGCCGUAACUGACGCUGAGGAGCGAAAGCGUGGGGAGCGAACAGGAUUAGAUACCCCAGUAGUCC
Molecule: ribosomal RNA, 430 nt
Filed under: uncultured bacterium
Lineage: Bacteria
Description: partial 16S ribosomal RNA
Rfam family: Bacterial small subunit ribosomal RNA
Source: RNAcentral